Non-coding RNA from Rattus norvegicus (Norway rat), 778 nucleotides. NCBI's taxonomy places the organism in Eukaryota, Metazoa, Chordata, Mammalia, Rodentia, Muridae. The record is from RefSeq and is a predicted model, not a curated record.
CAAGUUCCUAAAUAAUUUCUAUCCAUGCCAUGCCCCUGACUCAUUUUCUCCAUUCAGAAGUCACUAGCUUUAGAGAGAUGGAGAACGAAAGUUUCCACUGUGUCACAGGAGACAUACCUAAAUUGGCACCCUCAAAACUGGUUAAUGUAAGGAAAGCUGUUUAGAGUCAGGCCAUGGCAGUUCUCAGUGACAAUAUCAUUAGGCUCUCCCUGAAAAAUCUCUUGUAUCCUUGAGAGCACUAGCUUCUUCUGUGAUGUAAUAAGUGUUGUCCUGACUGCAAAUGCCUCUCAGAUAUUACUUCAGUACCUAUAGGUUUUACUAAUUGGCCUCAAAUUCAGGGGAAACAGUCAUUAGGGAGGGAGAACAAAGACGAUGAAGAAAUCAGAGAUGGGGAGAACGAAGCUGGUCUUCUGUCUUGGUAUAAAAGAAGGAAGAAAUACAUCAUCCCUGAGAAAUCUCACUGAAGCCUUGGUAGGAGUGGAAUAUGAAAAAUAGUCCUGAGGAAGGAGGGACAACAAGUAUUGUAUCGUCAUGUCAUCUCAAGAAAAACUCUCAAAACUCAUCCUGGCUGACAAUGUAGAUUAGACGCAUCAGAUGAAAUGAAUUGAAAAACUCUCCUGGGAAUGAAAGUGAUAACUGAAUGAUUAUUGUAAAGCAAAUCCCGGAAUGAACUUAUGAGACCCACCAUCAGCCUGUCAAAUAAUGUGCGAAAGAAGAAAUCUGUGUCUCUCCAGGGACAAAUUGUUGCUUUCAAACCAACAGUAAAGUGUCCAUUCUA